GGCAGUAUACAUUUACAUUUUUUUGUGUAUAUUACAGUCUAGAUGCCUUAACGUCACCAUAAUCUUUGACCUUAGGAUAUGAUUUUUCUUUUUGUGCCAUGAAAAAAUAUGUUCGUUACGACAUGCAUGUCUACAAUGCUAGAUAUAUGAUCCUGAUGUAUAGGCUAGCGGCACAUGAAAAGGAAAAAUAAAGGGAAAAAUUUUUAGACGAGUGCCUAACACAAUGGGAUGCCUAGUUCAGAUCUAUGCAUUGUUAAAAUUAACAGUUUUGCUAAAACACAUGUAGAUGAGCCAUAAGUAUUGCACAUCUAAGUCAUAUGUCAUUGAUCUUACAUCGAGAUUCAUGUGGAUAUUUUAUUUUUUCUUUCUUCUUUUUCUCUUUAUGCUUGAUUCACUCACUUAGAUGUACAAUAAGUAGAGCACAUCUAGAUGUGCCCUAGACACACCCAUUAACAUUAAUUAAAUCGAGUCUCUUAUGGUAAAAAGAAACGACAAGGAUUUUUCUUGAUCAUUGAGAUUAAACUGAACUGAUGUGAGCCUUCCCUCAACAAAAGGAUCAACUCUAGAAUAUUUAAGUGUUACAUGCGGUCUUCCAUCUCUAUAUGCUAAACUUUUAUUCUGUUUAUUUCAGUUGUUGGAUUGGCACUUGCCAUUCAAACCCAAUACUAAGCAAUGGACAGGGUGGUGACGAUUAAUCCAGUAACAUUGUCAUGGAAGGUAUUCACAUUAAGUUCAUAGAAAAUAUUAUGAGCCAGCAUGAAUCGUGGGAAGAUUAAGAUGGUAGUGACUAAAUCUUACGCAUGGCCUUCAACCUUUGUAUGUUGCUCCUUUUUUAUUUCUCUUUUGACCUGAUUUUUCUCUCUAAUAAUACUUUAUUCAUUCAUGUCAGUUCUUUGUUGCUGAAGAUUGCCAGGAUGAAUGGAUGAUGCAUGGCUAAGUUGUUGAUUGCAAGGUGGAGAAUGGGGCUGCUACCAUAUAGUUUUACACCAAAGUUGUAGAAUGUAAUUUUCAUGGUCAAUGUAUAGAAAAUCAUGUGUGGAUUCUUUGGAUUGUGUUAAUGUAAUGCAACCCGGUUGAUUUAAUAUAUGAAGUAUUUUUGGUCACUGGAUUGCUGCUCCUGUGCACUGUUGGUAUCGACCUAAUUAUUGUUCACAAUAUAUAAAAAUAGUAGUUCAUGCUACG
Molecule: long non-coding RNA, 1182 nt
Filed under: Triticum aestivum (bread wheat)
Lineage: Eukaryota; Viridiplantae; Streptophyta; Magnoliopsida; Poales; Poaceae
Description: long non-coding RNA (TAES_LNC028634)
Source: RNAcentral